GGAUACACAAGGAUACGAAAGUGAAAGUUCUUUAUCAAUCCCUGAAAACUCAACUGUUUCCACAAAGAAAAGAGGCCGCAUAGCAACUACAGGAAAAUCGAUAGAGAAAGCAAUUACUGAAAAUGUUAGUGUCUAUUGUUUGAUAUACAUUUCUCUUUUUUGUUACAUGUACCUAAUUAUAACUAUAUAUAUUCUUUUAUUUGUGAUUAGAAAGGACAAUUAUUAGAAAUUGAGUUUCCUGAAGGUUUUAAAAAGCCACGUCAAUUUGCUAAUCACUUAGCAACUGGAAUUGGAGUUGUUAUUAGGCACAGUCCUGAACUUGAUUGUAUGAGUAACUGGAGUGACCUUGCAGAACACGAAAAGCUACCUAUUUAUGCUGGAUUAGAUACAUGGUUUAAUAUCAAAGGAUGGGGAAAUAAUCCAGUAGUUCAAAGUUAUAUGGAGGAGAUGUUCCAAAAAAGUUAUACGCAUUGGAAAGGUCGAUUAUCAGGAGCUUAUAAACGUAUGAUUGAAGAAGAAAAAGAUCCCAAGGCUUGUAGUCCGUUUGAUUGGAUAGAACUUCGAAAAUGGCGUACUUUGUGUGAUUACUAUGAAACUGAAAAUUUCAAGGUAUUAUUACAAUUGGUUUGAUAUAUAAAUAUCAUUUUGUGAAUUGUGUUAAAACUUUUAGUAAGAUUUUAACUUUUACUAUACUCAUACUUCAGGUUCAAAAUCAUUUCAUACACGGCUAUUGCAAAUGGUAAUAUAUUGAUUGAUUUUGAUUGAUAUUUGUUUAGUUUGGUAAUGUUGGUUAUAAUAUUUUAUUUUUCUACCCUAUACUAAUACUUCAGGUUCAAAAUUAUUUCAUACACCGCUAUUGCAAAUGGUAAUAUAUUGAUUGAUCUUGAUUGAUAUUUGUUUAGUUUGGUAAUGUUGGUUCUAAUAUUUUAUUUUUCUAAUUUGAAAGGAAAAUCAAAGCUACGUGGAUAUUUUUGCCAUGACUCAUAAGAGAAAUGAUACUUUUGUGAAUGAGAAGG
Erythranthe guttata (spotted monkey flower) is the source of this 1016-nucleotide non-coding RNA. The record is from RefSeq and is a predicted model, not a curated record. NCBI's taxonomy places the organism in Eukaryota, Viridiplantae, Streptophyta, Magnoliopsida, Lamiales, Phrymaceae.